UACGUAGGUGGCAAGCGUUAAUCGGAAUUACUGGGCGUAAAGCGUGCGCAGGCGGCUUUGCAAGACAGAUGUGAAAUCCCCGGGCUUAACCUGGGAACUGCAUUUGUGACUGCAUGGCUGGAGUGCGGCAGAGGGAGGUGGAAUUCCACGUGUAGCAGUGAAAUGCGUAGAGAUGUGGAGGAACACCGAUGGCGAAGGCAGCCUCCUGGGCCAGCACUGACGCUCAUGCACGAAAGCGUGGGGAGCAAACAGG
This 253-nucleotide ribosomal RNA is filed under the name uncultured prokaryote. RNAcentral describes it as "partial 16S ribosomal RNA". It matches the Rfam family "Bacterial small subunit ribosomal RNA", at positions 524 to 776 of the family's 1533-position model. The record is from RNAcentral.